Long non-coding RNA from Brassica napus (rape), 3253 nucleotides. RefSeq lists it as uncharacterized. NCBI's taxonomy places the organism in Eukaryota, Viridiplantae, Streptophyta, Magnoliopsida, Brassicales, Brassicaceae. The transcript is spliced from 2 exons. The record is from RefSeq and is a predicted model, not a curated record.
UAAUUGAUCCACAUUAUUCAAUUUGACGAGAGUUUUAGUUGUGCAAGUAACGAAUGACGGUUUGGAAUGAGAUUAGUGACAAUGAGGUAAAUAAGUUGAAUGAGUUUAAUGAUCAUGAAAUAGUAUAAAAGGAUUGAUAUGGCGUUGACCAUGGCCACCGAAUGAGAGUAGUUGAGAUCAGAGAACGCUGACAUGGUUGAAGGGUACUUCUUCGAUUUCUGUUUUUGUUUUGAAGUGUGUUGGCUUCUCAUUUACUCAAGCCCUUGCAUGAAAAAGAGAGCAGUUGUAUUUCUAUGUAUAGAUUCUUAUAUAGUGUCGGCAUAUACAUCAUUUUAAAAAUAUUAUUGUAUUAAUUUAAAUAUUUAUAUUAAUUUAAAUAUUUAUUUUAUUUAUGUGAUAAAUAUUUUCUUUAUCUUGAGCGUUGGAGGAGGUUGUGAAAAUAACUAAUUUUAUAGAAAAUUAGAACCAUAUAAUAUAUGGUACACAUUUUUACUCUAUAAUUUAAACCAAGAGUCUUUAAAACUGUAUGUUUGACCGUAAAAUCUAAACUCAAUUAUCUACAUAAUCAAUUGCUAGGUCAAAGGGGUUUUCUCAUGAUUCCAUCCACUUUUGUCAUCACGACCACACUCGGCAACAUAUUGGUUUGAUCUAACAUGAUUCUCUUUGAUAUUUUCCCGAUUAAAUAAAAGAUUUUGCAGAUGUCAUCUUUGACAUAAAUGCAGAUGUAUCUACUGCUGAAUUGAAUCACGAAAGAAUUACACUCAGAGGCAAUUUAUGAGUUUAUUUUACACAAUAAGACAGUUUCUACUACCAAGGUAAUUUUUUCUAACCAAAUUCAUUUUCUAGCUAAAAUCUAACUAAAUAACCUUGUAACUAAAUGAUCCAAGCUAACUAAAUUUAAUAUAUAUAUAUAUUUUGCUGGGAUUUAACCACAGCCUUUCAUUUAUAUAUUAUUUUAAUGUUCAAGAUUCAACACAAACAAAAUGCUCGGUAACAUCAUCUCCCGAUCCUCUUCCUCAAGCUGCUAUGUCUUCCUCUUUGUAUAACCUUAAACGACAACCACGGCGAGCUCCAAUCAUCAUCCCCGCCGUGACCUGCUUCUCGCCACCGACUUUUCUCCUCCACGAUCCGCAUUUGUCAAGUUACCACAGUGAGCUCCUCCCACCACUUUCUCCCCACACACUCAUCUUACGCCAUAGCACUCACGAGCACGGGAGCUGUUCUCAGCGACGAUGGUUGCGUCAACGAACAUGGCGUAAUGAGUUAGAUCCAAGUUUUAUUGGAGCAAUUCGGUGGUGACUCAGUCGGAACGAGUUAGAUCCAAAAUAGUUAAUUUGGACAUUUUUGCAUAUUUGGUCCCUAAACUUAUUUGUUAUUUAUUUUGGAACCCCAAUACUUUUUAAAAGUGAAAAUUGAUCUUUAAUUUUGUCCAAAACUUCAGAAAUUAUAUUUAAACCCCUUGUAGUAGGAAUACAUGUACACUGAAUUAAAUUGAUACAAUAAAAAAUAACUAAAGACAUACCUAAAUGACUUAGAUGAACAAAAACAAAUAUGAAUAUCAAAAAAAUACGUACACCGAAUUGUACAACAAUAAACUAUGUACAUAAAUUUUUUUUUACAUAUUACUUAACUCGUGUACAUAUAUUAGUAUUUUUUAAACACAUAAGAAGGUAUUUGCGUGUUUGAUAUAUAUACUUUCAAAAGAAAUUUACAUGUACACAUGUUUUUGACUAUUGAAAAGGGCUAACGUGUAUGAUAUAAUAUUAUAUUUUAUCAGAUAUUUAUAUGUGAAAUACAUGUUCGAUGUCCAAUAUGUUGUAAAGUUAUGUACAUUCGUUAAUGUACAUUAAAAUUGUGGUGUACAUGUGUACAACAUGUGAUAUAUCAUGAGACGCGGAUGAGCUGUGGCAUAGACGAAGUCGAAUGUGAUCCCGAGAUUGAACCACCACUGUUUCACUUUACGGUGAAUGAGAAGAGGGGACGUUUCGACGGCAGUGAGAGCUUAGGUCACGGCGACGACAAAGACGAUUUGCAACACACAUACCGAAGACCAGAAAGAAGAAUUGCGGCGGAGAAGAAAGAGUUGUGGCAAAAGGAAGAGAUGCGACAGAGAAGGAAGAGUUGCGGUGGCGGAAAUAACUCGGACCCAAUGACCUUCAACAGACGAGUACACGAGUACAUCGAAAAUGAACCAAUAUAUGACUAUGUACACUUUUUAACGAGUACACGUGUACAUCGAAAAUGAACCAAUAUAUGUGAAGAGGGUGUACACAUAUAGGUGGAUUAGUGGUUGCUUAGUAAUAUACAAUGUGCACAUAUAUUAUAUCUUAACGCUAUCCAACAAAAUUAUAUCUUAAUUCGUAUUCUACUUGGAAAUCACUUCAAUAAUAUACAUAUGUACACAAGUAAAUAUGUACACAUGUACACAAGUAAACAUGUACGUAAGUAAACCUGUACACAUAUAAUCUUUGUACACAUGCAUACUUUUAUAUAUGCACACAUGUUAACAUACAUGAGUAAUAAUAAAUUUUGAUUAUCAUGACAAACAUUUCAUAAUUUUGAAAAAAAAAUAAAAAAUGUGUCAUAUUAUUUACUAAUACAAAUUUAGUGUUUAUAACUACAAAUAUUUUGCAAAAAAAAAUUAAAAUCAUGUCAUAUUAUUUAGGAACAUGUUGAUAUUUUAUUGAUUCCUAAUAACUUUAUAGUUCAUUUAACUCAAUUUUGUGUGUAUUUAAGUGUUUUUACUGCAUUUUCAUAGAUAAUUUCGGCUGGACUGCACAAUCUAAAAGUUUGGGCUGAAAUUGAGAAGAAUACAAAAGUACAAGGACCUAAGUUGCAAGCAAAGAAAGUUGGACAAAACUCGUCGGCUUCAGAGGUGUGGAUGCAACGGAACGGUGGCAGCAACAAAGAUGAAACGGAACGGUGGCAGCAGCAAGGAUGAAACGGAGGAUUACGCCGUGUAGAGCUUUGAAACGAGGCUUUGCUGCAGAUAUGUGAUGGUUUGUCGAAGAUCUCGUCUGGCUUCAGAGAUGUGUGGUUCCAUCGGAGAUCUCGUCGCACUUGUUCUGGGCAUCAUAUGCUAAUGGUGCGCAGAAAGCUAGAGUUAUCAAUUUAUGUCCAGUAGUCUCACAACUUCAAUAGCUUUUACAACUCUUAUUCAGACUGUAGUUAUCGAAUAUUUGAGGAAGAAGAUCAAGAAUAUUGAUUUUGUGAUUAUUGAAAAACGUAAAAGAACGAAUGGCUGAGAUUAAAA